RNAcentral lists this ribosomal RNA (929 nucleotides) under uncultured bacterium. RNAcentral describes it as "bacterial SSU rRNA". It matches the Rfam family "Bacterial small subunit ribosomal RNA", at positions 8 to 914 of the family's 1533-position model. The record is from RNAcentral.
AGAGUUUGAUCCUGGCUCAGAACGAACGCUGGCGGCGUGCCUAACACAUGCAAGUCGAACGCGAAAGGGAGCAAUCCCCGGUAGCGUGGCAGACGGGUGAGUAACACGUGGGUAACCUACCCGGAGGUGGGGGAUAACCCUUCGAAAGGAGGGCUAAUACCGCAUGACAUCGCGGAGACCUCGGUCUUUGCGAUCAAAGCUGGCCUCUGUUUACAAGCUAGCGCCACCGGAUGGGCCCGCGCCCCAUUAGCUAGUUGGUGAGGUAACGGCUCACCAAGGCGACGAUGGGUAGCCGGCCUGAGAGGGCGACCGGCCACACUGGAACUGCGACACGGUCCAGACUCCUACGGGAGGCAGCAGUGAGGAAUCUUGCGCAAUGGGCGAAAGCCUGACGCAGCGACGCCGCGUGGAGGAUGAAGGUCUUCGGAUUGUAAACUCCUGUCGAGCGGGACGAAUGCCGUGAGGGUGAACAAUCCUCGCGGUUGACGGUACCGCUGGAGGAAGCCCCGGCUAACUCCGUGCCAGCAGCCGCGGUAAUACGGAGGGGGCCAGCGUUGUUCGGAAUCAUUGGGCGUAAAGGGCGCGUAGGCGGCCGAUCAAGUCGGAGGUGAAAUCCCUCGGCUCAACUGAGGAACUGCCUUCGAUACUGUUCGGCUUGAGUCCUGGAGAGGGUAGUGGAAUUCCCAGUGUAGCGGUGAAAUGCGUAGAGACUGGGAAGAACACCAGUGGCGAAGGCGGCUACCUGGACAGGUACUGACGCUGCAGCGCGAAAGCUAGGGGAGCAAACAGGAUUAGAUACCCUGGUAGUCCUAGCUGUAAACGAUGGGCACUUGGUGUUGCGGGUAUCGACCCCUGCAGUGCCGAAGCUAACGCAUUAAGUGCCCCGCCUGGGGAGUACGGUCGCAAGGCUGAAACUCAAAGGAAUUGAC